This 163-nucleotide unclassified non-coding RNA is filed under the name uncultured Trichocomaceae. RNAcentral describes it as "sequence contains ITS1". The record is from RNAcentral. Lineage: Eukaryota; Fungi; Ascomycota; Eurotiomycetes; Eurotiales; Trichocomaceae.
CCGAGUGCGGGUUUGCCCCCUGGGCGCCCAACCUCCCACCCGUGACUACGUGACCCUGUUGCUUCGGCGGGGAGCCCCCCUCCCGGGGUGGCCGCCGCCGGGGACAAACCGAACUUCUUGUCUGAGCCUGUUGCAGUCUGAGCUUCAAUAGCAAAAUCAGUCA